Lucilia sericata (common green bottle fly) is the source of this 972-nucleotide long non-coding RNA. RefSeq lists it as uncharacterized. The record is from RefSeq and is a predicted model, not a curated record. The transcript is spliced from 10 exons. NCBI's taxonomy places the organism in Eukaryota, Metazoa, Arthropoda, Insecta, Diptera, Calliphoridae.
GAAGAAGAAGCACCCAAACAAAAAAAUAUCAAUGGAUACAACGAGGUUCUGGUGGAUUUCUAUGGCCGUAUAAGGGGAUUUUAAAUAAGGGAUCAUGUUGGCUGCCUUGGGCCUAUAUAAAAAAAACUUGAUGGCCGAUUCUGAAAGAUGGCGGAUCGAAGCAGAAUGAAAUGGUUUUGUUCCAGAUGGGCCAGUGGACUAGGGAUUAAGGUGGUUCCGGGAAUUUAAGCUAAUAAAAUUCAAUUGGACCUGGGAUUUGGCCUUGGUUGCUGCUUCCGUUCAGGAAAGGUUAUAAAUUCAGAUUGGACCUGGACCGGAAGCUUGAAUGCGGUAUAUGACCCCAAUUAUUAUUCUAAAACGUUGAAUCAUCAAAUUUUGGUUCCUGAAGAAAAUCAACAAUACCAGCCAACUGUAAGAUCGAGAGGAAAAUUUCUCCAAUCAACGAAAAUUUUAAUCGCUUUAGUUUUAGGUUUGGAUUGAGGUUUAACUAUAUGCACUCAAAUUUAUGCUUGCGUUUCAAAAGUUCAUAAUUUCGCUCGGGGAUAAACCGGAUCUGGCAAUUCUUUUUCUGCGGCAACUAGCUGGUUUACGGGAGGCAAUUAUAGAGCGGGAAGAGUUCUUUUGGCUGAUGAGGCUUUCCUGUCCGUCCGUAUUAGAGUCCGUUCGGAUAAACCAGGUUUUUUGUUAUAAAUAUAUAUGGCUAAGACCACCUGAGAUCUCAAAAUCACGCGUUACUUUGUAAGAGGCCUGAGCUCAACCCUGUUCGCGCACGUUUGGAAAAAAAACGCAAACGAAAUGGAUUCGAUACGAUGAAUGAUAGAAAAUUAUUUAAAAAGGACACUCGUCCGGUCCGUCUUGUCGUCCGGGUGCAAACUCACAGAAGGUCGGAAAACCAAAAAUUAUACCAGAGCACCCCAGGCGUGGUGGUGCUGGAAAACAGCUUCUCCCUCGUUGGAUGGAGUCGGUGUUGAA